This 405-nucleotide ribosomal RNA is filed under the name Rhizopus homothallicus. RNAcentral describes it as "eukaryotic LSU rRNA". It matches the Rfam family "Eukaryotic large subunit ribosomal RNA", at positions 106 to 502 of the family's 3401-position model. The record is from RNAcentral. Lineage: Eukaryota; Fungi; Mucoromycota; Mucoromycetes; Mucorales; Rhizopodaceae.
AGCUCAAGUUGGAACCUGUUUGGCUUAGCUAAACCGGAUUGUAAACUGUAGAAGUGUUUUCCAGGCAAGCCGGACCGAUAAGUCCUUUGGAACAGGGCAUCAUAGAGGGUGAGAAUCCCGUCUUUGGUCUGAGCAUUUGUCUUUUGUGAUACACUUUCAAAGAGUCAGGUUGUUUGGGAAUGCAGCCUAAAUUGGGUGGUAAAUCUCACCUAAAGCUAAAUAUUGGCGAGAAACCGAUAGCGAACAAGUACCGUGAGGGAAAGAUGAAAAGAACUUUGAAAAGAGAGUUAAACAGUAUGUGAAAUUGUUAAAAGGGAACCGUUUGGAGCCAGACUGGCUUGUCUGUAAUCAGUCUAAGUUUCGGCUUGGAUGCACUUGCGGGCUAUGCCUGCCAACGACAAUUUG